AGUGAACGCUGGCGGUAGGCCUAACACAUGCAAGUCGAACGGCAGCACAGUAAGAGCUUGCUCUUACGGGUGGCGAGUGGCGGACGGGUGAGGAAUACAUCGGAAUCUACUUUUUCGUGGGGGAUAACGUAGGGAAACUUACGCUAAUACCGCAUACGACCUACGGGUGAAAGCAGGGGAUCUUCGGACCUUGCGCGAUUGAAUGAGCCGAUGUCGGAUUAGCUAGUUGGCGGGGUAAAGGCCCACCAAGGCGACGAUCCGUAGCUGAUCUGAGAGGAUGAUCAGCCACACUGGAACUGAGACACGGUCCAGACUCCUACGGGAGGCAGCAGUGGGGAAUAUUGGACAAUGGGCGCAAGCCUGAUCCAGCCAUACCGCGUGGGUGAAGAAGGCCUUCGGGUUGUAAAGCCCUUUUGUUGGGAAAGAAAAGCAGCAUGUUAAUACCCCGCUGUUCUGACGGUACCCAAAGAAUAAGCACCGGCUAACUUCGUG
RNAcentral lists this ribosomal RNA (492 nucleotides) under uncultured bacterium. RNAcentral describes it as "partial 16S ribosomal RNA". It matches the Rfam family "Bacterial small subunit ribosomal RNA", at positions 29 to 507 of the family's 1533-position model. The record is from RNAcentral.